This 176-nucleotide non-coding RNA is filed under the name Eubacteriales Family XIII. Incertae Sedis bacterium. RNAcentral's name for it is "6S RNA". It matches the Rfam family "6S / SsrS RNA". Rfam says of the family: E. coli 6S RNA was the first non coding RNA to be sequenced, but its function was unknown until recently. It consists of 184 nucleotides that fold into an extended hairpin structure with a large single-stranded internal bulge. The 6S RNA specifically associates with RNA polymerase holoenzyme containing the sigma70 specificity factor. Lineage: Bacteria; Bacillati; Bacillota; Clostridia; Peptostreptococcales; Anaerovoracaceae. The record is from RNAcentral.
AGAAUUCUGAAGUCCUCGUUACGACUGGUUAUUUAUCCUUCUGUUUCAUACACGGGAUGCCGAUGUCGCGAGGUGGCUGCCGGGCCGGCUCGACCGGAAGGCAAAAAUCGCGCGCAGGCGACCCACUUAUCCGAGAUAAGGUAUGGAUUGCCGUCAGACGGUUCUUCGGAAUUUUC